CACAUUCUAGACGCUCUCCCGUACAUAGCAAGUCCUGGCUCCGUGGAGCUAAUCAAGGAGAUGAUAAUAAAGAACUCGGUGGAAGAGGAGACGAGGCACGAGUGGCUCAUGUCUAUGGCUAUGAUACCAAGGCCAAAGAUGCAGAUGUUGGACAGUAUGCUAGAGUUGCUACAAAAACAGAAGAAUGACAAAGUGAUCAGUUUCACCGUAUCGUCCAUGGUACAUUCCUAUUGUAAACACAGUGGAAAGGAACUACGUAUAUGCUGUGAAGAAGAAACCCCUAUGGCUAUCUUACAAGAAUUCGAAACUAUCGUCCAAGAGAUUGCGAGUAAGGGUGUCAUCAAAACUAGAGAAGAUAGGAAUAAUAUAAUAAUAGCAAUAAAAGCCCUCGGCAACAUCGGAGGCUACAGAAAGGAGUUUGCAGAUGUACUAAUGAAUAUAAUCGGGGAUAGUUUCGUGCCUGUGCCCGUUAGACUGACGGCUGUCGACGCGUUUAGAAGAACGCCUUGCGAUGAAACUCGGGAAUAUUUCCUAGAAACAUUCCGUGCGGACUACAUGAACUUAGAAGUACGUUUAGCGUCGUACGUACAAGUUAUGAAGUGCCCCGACCUCGGGACGCUGAGGAAAAUCUUCCAUACACUGCAGGAUGAACCUGUUAACCAAGUUACAACAUUCGUAUGGAGUCAUCUCAGGAACUUAGCAGAAUCUUCCCUCCCUUCUCGCGUGGAAAUACAGGGUCUGCUGUCAGGCAAUCAGAUACCGCAUCUAGAAGAUAGUCCAGAUUUCAGAAUGUACUCCAGGAAUUACGAACAGGGCGUGUUCUUUGAUCAGUAUAAUGCAGGUGGUAAUUAUGAAGCGAACGUAGUAUUCACUCCAGACUCUUACAUACCGCGGUCUCUGUCACUCAAUCUCACUGUGGACAUGUUCGGAGAAUCUAUCAACGUUUUUGAGAUGAAAGCCCGCGGCGAGGGUUUUGAGCGCUACUUCGAGCGUUUCUUCGGCAACAACGGUCCACUCAACAAGAACAAACUUACUGAGAAGAUAGCCAACCAUCGCUUCUUCAGGUCCACUAAUGAGGCUGAUGAAGUUAGGGAGAAGAUCGAUAAUCUGGAGUAUAAGAAUGAGGCUUUGAAACAUAGGUUCCCAAUGGCAGAACUAGGUAUCAAAGUGUUUGGCAAUGAGAUAUCCUACUGGAAUGCCGAAGGUGACGAGGAGAUUAUGAAGUCUUUAGCCAGAUUGAACCCACAACUCAGAGUUUUGGAAAUACUUUCUGGAAAGGAAAUUUCAUAUAACAAAGCGUCCCUAUUCCUGGACACGACAUUCUCAGUGCCCACGGGGUCAGGCCUGCCUAUGAACAUGAAUCUCAUGGGAACCAGCUAUGUCAACACUAAGAUGUCGGGUACAGUCACUGAUAAAUAUGCGCAGUCCGGUAAUCUGGACUUUGAGGGGAAAUUGAGGCCGAGUGUGGCAGUAAACAUAGCAGCGACAAUGAGCGUGGACGCAGGUGGUCUCAGUUCGAGCGGUAUUCGCGUCAACUGGCGUCUAUACACGGCCACCGCAGUGGAAGCCAAGCUGAAGAUACGGGGAUUGGCUCAAUUGAAACUCGAUUUAAGUCUGCCUAUUGAUAAGCAGGAGAUUUUUGCUGCUAAGUCGGAACUUAUAAUCCUUCACGGUGAUAAAGAGCAACAACAACAAGGUUUGAACAAGAAUAGAAUAGAACAGAAUACUUGUAGCUGGUCUACCUUCGAUAAGGCUAUUGGUAUCAAGAUGUGUGCCUCUUAUCAGUUCCCAAACAUGACGAAUCUCCGCAACGCCCCAUACUUCCUAAUGAGUGGACCUGCCAAAUACAUCCUCUCUCUAGAGAAGGCAGAUCCCACAGCUGACACAUACGCCUUCCAGUACAAGUGGGACAAGAACGAGACCAGUAACGUUGUUAGCUUCUCUUUCGAUACUCCUGAUAGUAAGGAAAAACGAAUGAUCAACGCAGUUUUAUCGAUAUCGAAUACCUCAAGCACAGCACUAUUAACCCUCCAAUCAGAGAAGAGCACGUUAAUAGCUAAAGCUAUGUAUCGAAACAUGCCUUUAGAUAAAUCUCUAUCGGCUAGUCUAGACGUGGAUGGUAGGAAACAGUUCGAUACGGUGAUGUCGAUAAAAAGGCAUGAUAUUAAAUACGGGUUUGUGUGGAUACCACAUGCCUAUUGGGUCGUCGAUAAUGAGAGGGUUGCAGAACUUUCUGGUGUAAUAAAAGUAAAAUCCAAAGGCAGCGUCACCCAAAGCGACAUAGAAGCCGAAUUUCAAACGAAACAGCUAGCCAGCCACUUAUUAGGCUACUACACUAUAAACGGACCAACCCACGGAGCUAAACUACAGUUCGAUUAUCAAUUCUAUAAAAGUCCUAAACAAACGAUUAAAAUAGAAGGGAUUUAUAGUGAGAGGACGGGAGCGUUUAGACAUGAUAUGUAUGGAGAUCUGUCUAUGCAGUUUACCGCUUACCCUGGAUAUAACUUCUAUACUGUUUUGAAGAAUGUUAAAACGCAAUCCCACGUGGAUAUAGGCUUCAAUGUAAGCGCAUCCCGGGAAAAUAAAGACGACCCCGCCUUCACGUUCGCGUUCACCCGCGCGGAUCGUCUGACCGGCAUGAAGUUAGACACGCGACUGACGUUACAGCGACCACGGCUCGUUGAUAUGAGGUUCCAAUUUGAAGGGAUCGGCCCAAAAUACACAGCGGUGGCCCUUCUGAACUUCAACCCGAAAUCUCGCGAGAUCCUAGUGUCGGGCUACCUGUUCUUCCCUCCUGGCACACAGUUGUAUCUGGAUGCUGAACUCAACAUGACCCUGCCGACGUUACACCCUUGUGUCAUUAAGACGAAGGUGCAUGAGAAAAUGCCCAAUGAUUAUCAAGUAAACGCAGCAGGCGUUUGGUUCACGGGCGUAGACUUUAACAUUGACGCUUCAUACCAAGAUCAAUCGAAAACCAAUAUGGCGUCUCAUCACCUGAAAGCUUUGAUCAGCAGCACACACUUCAAGAAUAUCGCCAUGGAUGGACGGUUUACACAGGAUAAUAGGCAGAUUACUUUUAUUGGUCAGGGUGAAUACAACGAUGACCACUAUAGAACUUUAAUCCGCUACAUAUUACUUUCGGAACAAAACUUCACAACUUAUGUGGAAGUAGAUGUCGGCGGGAAAGCGUAUAGCGUGAACCUUAAUGCUGACCUAAGUAACAAUACUAACCUUAAUAUGGAUAUACAUUUUGAUCAACUUCGCGACCUCCACUUUUCCUACCAACGCUGGGUGACGGCCCGCCAAAAGCGGCUAAGUGUUGCCUUCAACUGGGAUGCAAACCGUGACCCUUCGCAGAAAGUCAGCGUAGAUGUGCAGUUGGACAACAAGGGGACCUGGCACCAUGGUGGACAUGUGUCCUUGUACUAUCCUGGGAGAAUGGUUAAUGGGGAGUUCGAGUUUUUGUUAAGAGAUUGGUUCUGCCAAUGGCACGUCCGAAUGGGUUGGUCAAGCGAGUCCAACAUACUAUGGCGCGUUAAGAUGUACUCGGAAGCACAUAACGAGACUGUAUACGCGUUGCUCUCUAGCAUGAAUACGCCAUUCGCAGGAUGGAAAGAUACUAGCUUCAAUGUUAUGUGGCGUUACCACGACAAUCUGCAAGCACUAAACGGCAGUAUGAACUGGCAAGAAGACUACCUAGCAUUCAGUCUACUAGCCGACUACUUAUUCAAGACCAAUGAGUUCUAUGGCGAAAUCAAUGCGGUUGUCAACUCGACUAUACCGACCUUACCGAAGGCGGCUGCUAUAGCCAAACAUAGGGUCGUUUGGAAGAAAAGUGCUGAUACUCUGCUCAGUUUUCAGUACAACGAAGAUGGUCUUCUAAUGAUCAACUCAUCAUGGACUCUGGAGAGAGGACAAAAGGAGAACAACAUUACAGGCAGAGUAAAACUCCUGACGCCUUUCCCUGGCUACAGGCAAGGAUUCCUCCGGACGGAAUUCGUGUUGGGCCACAAACGAGACAUUCAUGGCAUCACCUACCUUGACCUUGAAGAGAAAGUGCUCAAGAUUUAUGUCAACGGUCAUAUGCGUCGUAUUACUAACUGCAUGUUAGUGGUGAACGUAACGAGUCCAAUGGUGGAGUUCCCGCAAAUGACUGCGCGCUUCGGCUUCGUAGAAGCUGAUAGACAUCUUGUCGCUAUGGUGGUUACUACUAAUUCUACUACUGGUAUCGAAGUGCUUCUGAAGCUGGUGACAUUGCAAGACUUCCAUGUAUUCGGACAUGUUGCAUUGCCGAUACAGUACCUGAACAGAGCUAUGAUCAUUGCCAAACGAGCGCCUGAAGAGUUGGACUUCAGAGUAGGUUGGGGUAAAAUGGACUUCGGUUUCACCGGCAUCUGGCACUGGCGGUCACCCAUCAACUUUGUGUACUUGUACAAGCUUUACACACCGCUCGAAGGAUUUGAGGAGAACGGACUUGUAUUGAAGAAUGUAUACGGUGAUGGACUUGAUACGGAAGUCUCUAUGAGAUUGUCUACGCAUAAGUUCGGCAUAGCAAUUCUUCUAAAGGACAACGGCAAAGGUCUACUAGACGUACUUAAGGAUAGAUUCCAACACGACUCGCAAGUGGGCUCCGAUAUGUUCAUAGAGAACUUCGACACUAGAGCACGGGUCGUGCUCGAUACGUUGUAUUAUCCUACCAUCACGUUCAAUUCGCAUCUUAUGAAGUUCGUGGGUCCAGAUGAAGAAGACAUAAUGGAAGUAAAUGCUACACUUCACUUGCCUGACAAACCGCCUAUUGUGUUGACUGAUGUCUUUAUUUUAGAGCAAUACACAGUAAUGAGAAACACCCUUAACUUAGUAACGCCUUUCCAAGCUGUGAAGGAAUUAAAGUCGGUGUACACUGUCGACAUUAUAUUAGGAGAGAAGAUCAAUGUUACCUGUUUAGUGCUGUUGUAUAACGGGACUUAUUGGCAUGAGAUAUCGAACAAAAUAUUCUACGAGUACGAAUGUGGGGAAGACGAUACCUACCAAUCAUACGUCGCGUCCGUCGGCAUCGCCACUCCUCUCACAGUGUUGCCAGCGCUAGAAGCGAGAGUUGCCGCUAGACUAGAGGAUGCACUAUGGAAAAUGACGGCCGAUAUCGCCAUGCCGGCGUUUACUAUCACCGCUUUAGCCAGUUUAGAGCUAGACGAUCCAUUCGUGGAAACAUCAGGUAGUCUGAACCUAACAUCAGCGUACUUAGAAGACUACUUCAUCAAGAUGCAGUUCAAGAAAGAUUUCUCCGAUGUCGAGAACGUAGUGGGAGGUGGUAUACAGAUACAACAGGGCGAGCAGAAUAAUUAUCUAUUCGCGGACGUAGUAUGGCGUCCAGCCCCCCACCGUCACAUUCGCUUCAAGUCCCGCGGAGCUCUCGCUCCCGUACUGUCUCCCGCCGAACUCAACUUGUUAUACAGCGAAGAUAUAUCGAGAACAUUGUCAGUGGACUUCAACAGCGAGACCUACUUCUAUACGCUGAAGGCAGAUCAGACGCAGACUUCUGUUAGCGCCACUUUGAGCAGCCCGCAUGAAGGGUUCAGAGCAAUAAAAAUAAUAACCGAGUUUGAAGGCGAUGACAUUCGAGGCUCUUUCGUCACCGACACCACAGAAUAUAGCAUCAACGGCAAAGUGCUCAAUAGGAAACCGCUUGAGAUGGCGUUAACCCUAGUUCCCCGAGGCCAAGGCGAGAACGUAGACAUUCGUAUAAAGUACGAGAGCAGUCCCACAGUAUAUGCACUUUCGGCUAACUUUGUGGGACCAGUGUCGGCCACACUACACGCUAGGACCGAAAUGGCCGCUAACUUCAGUGAUAUUAAUGUUAAGCUGGACAUACCCAGAUCGAAAUACAAGGACAUUUACUUCAAGUCCCGCGUGGACAACUACCCGGGACUGCGGAAAGUGCUCAGUGUGCAGGCCGCCACUCCGUUACAGAGAAUACGAUAUGUUAAGGGAGAUACUGAUUUUGAAUUUGGCCCUAAGACUGGAUACCUACUGUGUAAAUACGCGUUACCUGACAUGGAAGGCGAAGGCGAUCUUAAAUGGAGCUUCUUGCUCGGCGAUCUGUUCAUAAGGGCUCUAGGCCACCAACACGUCCAAAACAUAGAGAAGAGUGUAGAUUUAGACAUAUACUUCGGCAACAGCACCACUCCUGACAUGAUGCAGAAGACGGACGCCGGCUUCAAGAUGGACCUCGACCACGUGUGGCUGAUCGGCGCAAACGCCUCAUUCGGUAUAAUAAUGAACAAGCGAGUGAACUUAGUAAUUAACGCGGUACUACCCAAGCCGAAUGUAGAUGUUCAUACGCUAUACAUUGACGGUGAUAUGGGAACUCCCAAUGAACCGCUUAAGACUUUAGAAGCAGAGUAUAGGACCGAUGUUACGAAGAUUGUUACUGGUGUUAAAGGGAAUUUGCUAGAACUACCAGAGAGUUUCGACACGAAUUCCACGAUAACUUGGACGUCCAGCACUGGUUACAAACAUAUCGAUAACAAAGUGAAUUACAAAUGGGACAUCAAUGGCUCGAACCAUGUCGACUAUACUUUAACUUCGCCGAUGUUCGAUGAUGCACCGACGCUGAAGCUGAAAGGGUCCUACCAAAAGGAUUUGGUUCAUAAAUAUCAUAUUGUCAAGGGUAACAUGCAUCACCCAGGACCCAGUCAGAUUGGAGAGAUAGACCUCAGAUAUGGCGGUGUUAAACAUACGGACGGACAUUUCAACUUUACUACACCCUUCAAACGUCUGCCUUGGCUCAAGUCUAUAUUUGAUAUAAACAACUUAGAAGAACACUCAGACAACAAAGUGGACCUCUUCUGGCCAAACAAAACAGCUUCCAUAAACACCACCCACCGCUACCAUAAACAAGACAAAGGCUUCACACAAAAUGGCGUCAUAUCCCUUUCCGUUCCUCUCAGUCGUCAACAUCUUGUAAACACAGAGUAUUAUUACAUACAAGGCGACAAAUGGAGUAAUGGAAACGCAACAAUAGAUUUUGACAAAGAAAGAUUUGUCAAAGGAUCCUUCAAUCAGAUUUUGACGAAAAGCGCUAGGAAUUUGGACCUUGCGACUAUGGAUAUAGAGGUUGAAAAUGUUCAUACGCCUGUCGGGAUUAAGUAUAUUCAUGAGUACGAUAAUACUGGUAAUACGGAUGUAAAACAAGCCACAGUAUUCCACCUUCACAAUGCCACCAAAUUCAACGUUACCGGCAAACUCGACGUUUACACUUACGAUAUAGGCAAAAAUCUCAAACUGACUGCUAUACACGGGAACCGAACCUGGACCUUUGACAAUAAGUACGAAGCGGUCGAUAAGGAGCUUAAGCAGGGCACUAAGAUUAAGUGGGCUGAAGAUGUCUGGUUUAAUUAUAAUUUGCAUGUCACUAAUAUGACUACGGAUGAAACCGAAUCCCAACAACUAGUAAUGAACGUAUGGUAUCCGCUCCGUACAUUCAACUUAAUCGCUCAGUACAACUUACAAGACACACUACUAGAUGGUACGGCCAGAUUACAUUGGAACGUCAAAGAGGAGAAUAAAACUGCCGAGUUAAGAGGACGAUGGGAAAACCCGCCCGUACCUGAGGGAAAUUUGCAUCACGUUGAUCUGUCGUUGGCACAUCCUUCGUUUAGAAAGGACGUAACACUCAAAGGCCAAUACAUAUCAACUCCAUCAGUUAUGUCAAACGUUUCCCUAGAAUUACAAUACUCAGACUACGAGAACGAAUAUCUCAAACUAAAAUCCAUUUUAACUGACAAUUCUAACGGACCAGUUAGAGAUUACAAAUUUGCUUUAACUUGCAAACAUCCAUCCACGAAUUUAGAUUUGGAUAUGAAAUCUGAUAUACAUAUACAUAGUCGCUGGUAUUACUUGAAUAACUUCUAUAGGUUCCAGAAAUCGCUUUUCUAUGAGAAGUUGAGGCAUAACAAGUUUUUGAUCGAUAUGGCUAAUAGUGCUAUUCAGUAUGAGCGAGCAAACGAAACAUACUUCUACAAAGUGAACGGUACUUGGGAACUAGUGUACCCAGAAUUCAAGUUAAAGACACUAGUCAAUAGACCGACGGGCAAUGACACCGGGACUGCCACGCUUUCUAUGAAGAACAGGUCUUUUAUAGCGCAUUAUAAUAGUACUGAUGAUAUCUCAUACCACAUGAUCGGCCAAAUCGUAGACACACGCUACGCCAAAUUUGACUCUUGGCGUAACUUCGAUGACGUCACAACCGUAGACCUUGCUUCCUACAUCCGUUUAAAUCACUCCCGAUUACUCACUAGCUCUAUGAAAUGGCGUCCAGAAAUCUUCAGCGAAGUCAAAUCCCAAGCAGUUUAUACAUUAAAACUUUUGUACGGACAAGUUAACGAUACACUUGUAAUAAUAAAAGAAAUGCCCAUGGAGGCCCAUUUAGCACUCAAAAAUAUUUGGUCUGAUGCAAAACCGAGAAUUCGUGACUUCUUAGACGAUUUGAAUGACUUACAUGUGAUCAAAGACGAUUUGGAUGAGUUCGAACGAUUCUUGAACCAGUCUUACAGCCAUAAUGACUUUUACGUCAAAGAUAUUGUCGAAUUCACUUACUACGUGUUAGACGAAAUGGCGAUUAGAAACCAUUUGGAAAGCUUACCAGGAAUAGUUAAUGAUAUGUGGGGUAUGAUGGGUAAUACUAGUCAAUCGAUAAAACAGAGUUUGACAUACAUUGUCGAUUCGAUUAAAAAGGCGUAUGCAAACUUCUUGGAGUCAGUCAACAAAGUUUUGGAAGCAGAUUUCAUGGAAUUAGUAUCAGAUAGAUUAGAAGCAAUGAUUUUGCAAUACGAUACUUUUAUAAGAGAUUUACAUAUGAAAUUUUUGGAGUACUGGGAGGAAACUUGGGUGAAUGCGACGAAUCGACUUUCGAAAUACUGGCAUGAAGUCUUGAAGUCGAUAGAGCCGUUGUUCUUUAAGGUUUUGCAUUAUACUGAGUCGUUUGUGUUCACUGUUUGGAAGAGCGUUAUGGACUUCUUCUAUAAUAGGACUCAAGAGUUGACUGAUUCGCCUUACUUCAAUUAUGUAUCGACUUUUGGACAUCAGAUGGAUCGCAUCUACAAAGACCUAAUGAACAACGAUUUAAUAACAAACAUAAAGAAAUACAGCAAGAAACUUUUCAACGCCGUCUGGUCUAAGAUAGAAAAGUACAUACCUUUCAAGGACGAAUUCACACAACUGUAUGCAGAGUUCAGGAAUGCUUGGCAAAACUUCUUGAAGACUAAACAAGUGGUCUAUGUUAGGGAAAAGUAUGAAGAAGCUUACGUCCGUCUUAAAUGGUGGUAUGAUUACUUCUUGAUCGGCGAGGCUUUGGAAACUGUUGGAGAGAUUUUAUACGCCAAACUGACUGAUAUGUCCAAGACUGCGUUACAAUAUGAAGAAUUACACCGAACACCAAAAACUAACUUCAUAUUCGAUCCCCGUACGGGAGCGAUCCUUCUAGAACAAAAGCUACCGAUGUCGUGGCAUGCCUUCAACCGAACACCGGACUUCACGGAAAUAGCCGAGUACCGUAUGGUCAAGGACUUUAUGGACGAAUGGUUGACCACGAACAAGAGCAUCUGGUCGUUCUAUUAUGAUAUCCGACCUUAUAUGGACUUUGAUAACUUGAUGCCGCCUUUUGCUGGAAUGGCAAUGAUGACCGGCCAAGGCACUCUAGUGACAUUCGACAAGCGCGUAUUCACUAUAUCCGAAGCCGGUACCUUCUUGCUCAGCAAGGAUUAUAGACAGGACAACUUUACUGUACUUAUGGAGAGCAACGAUCAGGGACGGUAUAACUUGAUAGUGCUGACGAGAAGGAAUUUGGUGCAUAUCGAUCUUUAUAAUGAGGAAGUAUCAAUCGGGCGUACAGUACUGAGCCUACCAGCUUUAGUAGACGGUCUCAUAAUAGACAGACAAACAGACACACUCAACGUGCAAGGCUACAACGGACUGGACAUACAGUGCAAUCUACUCUUCCAUACGUGCAAGCUUGAAGUCUCAGGCUGGUACUACGCAACUCUCGGCGGCCUUCUAGGCACGUACAACAACGAGCAAUACGACGAUCUACUCUUGCCCAACAAUACCUUCACCACUUCUAUCCCAGCGCUGGGCCAUGCUUGGAACAUCGUACCCAGCGCUUCCCCAACUAACAUAGAGAACAAAGACACGAAGAAUGAUACGCAGUGCGAGAAGUUCUUCCAGAAUAAAGUGUCGCCUUUGCAUCCGUGUUUCUCUGUUAUCCCAGCGGCGUCGUUCUACAGCGAGUGCGUGUCGGGCGGCGCGGCGUGUGCGCUGGCUAGUGCGUACCGCGAGCUGUGUCUGCACCAACACGUGCCGACACACAUGCCUGAUCACUGUCUGCAAUGCACAACUCCCCAAGGCGAUAUAAUCGAAGAAGGUUCAUUCCACAUGCUACAAUACAUACCGAACUCAACGGACGUGGUGUUUAUAGUAGAAGCACUGCAUUGUAAUAAGAAUUUGAGGAAAAACAAGAAUAUGGACCUCUUUGUAGAAGCUUUUGAUAUUAAGCUGCAGGCUAAUGGACUUUCGGAUAAUAGGUACGCGAUAGUCGGUUUCGGCGGUCGCGGCGUCUACCGUCAUCCACGUGCUCUCUACGUCAACAACAAAGUUUUCACCAACUCUAUUGAGAUAUCGCAACAUUUGGACAACUUUAUCAUUGACAAGUCCGACCUAGUCCGCGGUAACCGCACGGGCCGCACGGACAUGUUCGCGGCGCUAAGCUUCGCGACACAGCUGCCGUUCCGCGCGGCCGUGCCCCGCACCUUCAUACUGAUGCCGUGCUCCAAGUGUGACGCCUCCUUCAUGCGGUUGGACUACUCGACGAUCUACCACAACUUGAUGGAGAGCUCAGUAACGUUACACAUCAUGAUGGACGAUGACUUCAUGCUGUCCAAGAAGCGAGCCGCCAAGUAUCUGUUCGGUGUGGACAACACUCUAGCAUACACAAACAAGGAUUACGAACAUCUAGUAGGAGACGCAGCGCUCAGAAAACAAGUGAAACUGCCCAAAGAGAAGCUUGGACUUUGUACCUCCCUGGCUAUGGAAACUAACGGUACAAUCCUAGCUGGAGCCAAACUCCGUGGCGAUAGGCCCACAGCCCGUCGCUUCUCAACAGUGGCCGGCGCCCGUGCAGCCAGCGCGGCCACACGCUGCACGUCGCCGCCGCGCUGCGAGUGCAGUGAGGGACGCCUCGCGUGUCGCGUCUGUGCUGAUACGCAGCGACUGGUCAGUAUCUAGCAGGAGCCAAGCGAGAACACGAGCAACAGUGCAGCCCGUGCAGCCAGCGCGGCCACACGCUGCACGUCGCCGCCGCGCUGCGAGUGCAGUGAGGGACGCCUCGCGUGUCGCGUCUGUGCUGAUACGCAGCGACUGGUCAGUAUCUAGCAGGAGCCAAGCGAGAACACGAGCAACAGUGCAGCCCGUGCAGCCAGCGCGGCCACACGCUGCACGUCGCCGCCGCGCUGCGAGUGCAGUGAGGGACGCCUCGCGUGUCGCGUCUGUGCUGAUACGCAGCGACUGGUCAGUAUCUAGCAGGAGCCAAGCGAGAACACGAGCAACAGUGCAGCCCGUGCAGCCAGCGCGGCCACACGCUGCACGUCGCCGCCGCGCUGCGAGUGCAGUGAGGGACGCCUCGCGUGUCGCGUCUGUGCUGAUACGCAGCGACUGGUCAGUAUCUAGCAGGAGCCAAGCGAGAACACGAGCAACAGUGCAGCCCGUGCAGCCAGCGCGGCCACACGCUGCACGUCGCCGCCGCGCUGCGAGUGCAGUGAGGGACGCCUCGCGUGUCGCGUCUGUGCUGAUACGCAGCGACUGGUCAGUAUCUAGCAGGAGCCAAGCGAGAACACGAGCAACAGUGCAGCCCGUGCAGCCAGCGCGGCCACACGCUGCACGUCGCCGCCGCGCUGCGAGUGCAGUGAGGGACGCCUCGCGUGUCGCGUCUGUGCUGAUACGCAGCGACUGGUCAGUAUCUAGCAGGAGCCAAGCGAGAACACGAGCAACAGUGCAGCCCGUGCAGCCAGCGCGGCCACACGCUGCACGUCGCCGCCGCGCUGCGAGUGCAGUGAGGGACGCCUCGCGUGUCGCGUCUGUGCUGAUACGCAGCGACUGGUCAGUAUCUAGCAGGAGCCAAGCGAGAACACGAGCAACAGUGCAGCCCGUGCAGCCAGCGCGGCCACACGCUGCACGUCGCCGCCGCGCUGCGAGUGCAGUGAGGGACGCCUCGCGUGUCGCGUCUGUGCUGAUACGCAGCGACUGGUCAGUAUCUAGCAGGAGCCAAGCGAGAACACGAGCAACAGUGCAGCCCGUGCAGCCAGCGCGGCCACACGCUGCACGUCGCCGCCGCGCUGCGAGUGCAGUGAGGGACGCCUCGCGUGUCGCGUCUGUGCUGAUACGCAGCGACUGUUGGAGCUAUCAUUCUUCAACCAGGAUGACAUUGAUGAACUGAUUGACAUGGCUAUGGAACCUCCAACCCUACCAUCCUUCAGAUAAUAACAAGCCAGACUAGAAAUAAUAACACUCUUCUUAGAUUUAGUACUAGAUCUUUCAGACAAAAACAUUUGAAAAUUAUAUACUGACUAUUAAAAGAGUAUUUUGUCCUGACUAAAUUAGUAUUGUAAAAUAUACAAUUUGUUUAUGGAAUACUUUAAAAUUAUAUUUAUGAAUAAAUAUAAGAAUGCCUAAAGUUCAAGUAGUUUAAUAGUUCAAUUAAUUUAAGGAAUAAGUACAUACAAAAUAUGUUUUAAGAACAACAACUUAUUUGCAACCUUAUUUACUUAAUGGUAGUGUUUAUUUUAAAAUACAGUGACUAUGUAGACAUGUAGUAUGUUUGCUGUGUACAUAUUUAAUUAAUUUUAAGUUUGACAUGAUUAGAGGCAAUAAAAUAUGUAUUUUGUAUA
This 12935-nucleotide unclassified non-coding RNA is filed under the name Helicoverpa zea (corn earworm). Its description in RNAcentral is "uncharacterized LOC124642409, transcript variant X2". Lineage: Eukaryota; Metazoa; Arthropoda; Insecta; Lepidoptera; Noctuidae. The record is from RNAcentral.